Molecule: unclassified non-coding RNA, 256 nt
Filed under: uncultured Gemmatimonadaceae bacterium
Lineage: Bacteria; Pseudomonadati; Gemmatimonadota; Gemmatimonadia; Gemmatimonadales; Gemmatimonadaceae
Description: contains 16S-23S intergenic spacer region
Rfam family: Bacterial small subunit ribosomal RNA
Source: RNAcentral
UACGGAGGGUGCGAGCGUUGUCCGGAAUCACUGGGCGUAAAGGGCGCGUAGGUGGCGAUGUAAGCGCAUUGGUGAAAGCCCGGGGCUCAACCCCGGGUCUGCCGUGCGAACUGCGUUGCUAGAGCACUGUAGAGGCAGAUGGAAUUCCGGGUGUAGCGGUGGAAUGCGUAGAGAUCCGGAAGAACACCGGUGGCGAAGGCGGUCUGCUGGGCAGUGGCCGAAAGGCUUUUAGCUGACACUGAGGCGCGACAGCGUG